This 392-nucleotide ribosomal RNA is filed under the name uncultured Gammaproteobacteria bacterium. RNAcentral describes it as "bacterial SSU rRNA". It matches the Rfam family "Bacterial small subunit ribosomal RNA", at positions 370 to 779 of the family's 1533-position model. The record is from RNAcentral. Lineage: Bacteria; Pseudomonadati; Pseudomonadota; Gammaproteobacteria.
AAUGGGGGCAACCCUGAUCCAGCCAUGCCGCGUGAGUGAAGAAGGCCCUAGGGUCGUAAAGCUCUUUCGCCUGUGAUGAUAAUGACAGUAGCAGGUAAAGAAACCCCGGCUAACUCCGUGCCAGCAGCCGCGGUAAUACGGAGGGGGUUAGCGUUGUUCGGAAUUACUGGGCGUAAAGCGCGCGUAGGCGGAUUGGAAAGUUGGGGGUGAAAUCCCGGGGCUCAACCCCGGAACUGCCUUCAAAACUCCCAGUCUAGAGUUCGAGAGAGGUGAGUGGAAUUCCGAGUGUAGAGGUGAAAUUCGUAGAUAUUCGGAAGAACACCAGUGGCGAAGGCGGCUCACUGGCUCGAUACUGACGCUGAGGUGCGAAAGUGUGGGGAGCAAAUAGGAUU